AUGAUACUAUUUUGUCAGCUUGAUUUAGAAGUCAUGUUCCAGCGCGCCAAUAUAUUCAUUGUUUCAUAAAUUGUGCACAAAAAAACUAUUAUAAUUAUGUCAGACACCCAGCUUUUCACAUCAAAUGACCUUUCUCAUAACGCCAGCAGACCCGAAUGAAUACACUGUAUUUAUUCCAAACAGAUGCCUGGAGAAUUGCGAUUUUUCGCUAAGGGGGGAAUGACAGCAGCACGUCCUGACGUCGACUUGCUACAGGAACUAAAGACAUUCCAGCCGCACGUUGUCGUGGUGGUUCUGGGUGGAAACGACAUAUGCACUAGUUCGUCGCCUGCGGACAUUGUGUCGUCUCUACUAAGGCUACAGACGCAGCUCCACGAAGCAGGAACCACACACGUUCAUUUCUGCAACAUUUGUGAGCGGGGUUAUUUUCCAAAGGACCGUGCAAUGACAAAGAAAUGUUUUAAUGCACAGAGAAACAAAAUCAAUGACUGUCUAAACAAAAACGCGAGUGUAAUAGAACUGAAAAAGAUUAGAUUUCCAGCAGAUUACCACACCGACAUGGUGCACAUGAAUGAAGUUGGCAAUAAUAAACUCUUUAGGCACAUCAGAGGCUUUUUAUUUGGACUUUAAAUAGUUCACUGUAUUGUCAUUUUUGUUUGUUUUGUAUUUUGGUAUUACGUAUGAUUAUUGCUUGUUUUGAUUUUGAAAUAAACGCUUUCUGGCAAAUAAG
Long non-coding RNA from Dreissena polymorpha, 730 nucleotides. RefSeq lists it as uncharacterized. Lineage: Eukaryota; Metazoa; Mollusca; Bivalvia; Myida; Dreissenidae. The transcript has 2 exons. The record is from RefSeq and is a predicted model, not a curated record.